CAGGCACUUUGGUGACUCUAGAGAACCUCGGGCCAAUCGCACGUCCCUGUGAUGGUGACGACGCAUUCGGAUGUCUGCCCUAUCAACUUUCGAUGGACUUUCUGCGCCUACCAUGGUGACCUCGGGUAACGGGGAAUCAGGGUUCGAUUCCGGAGAGGAAGCCUGAGAAACGGCUACCACAUCCAAGGAAGGCAGCAG
Pelobates cultripes (western spadefoot toad) is the source of this 198-nucleotide non-coding RNA. NCBI's taxonomy places the organism in Eukaryota, Metazoa, Chordata, Amphibia, Anura, Pelobatidae. The record is from the annotation of a GenBank genome assembly.